AUAGUUACCUGGCAGGGGCGACUCCAUGAUCAGGUAGGUGGAUUGCCUAGAGUGAGGAUCAACCAUUGCACUCCAGCUUUUCUGACCUCUAUGAAUUCUCCACAUGUGAGAAUCUCAACGGCAUAAUUUCUGCUAGUGGGGACUGCAUUCACACUCUCCCUG
Carassius auratus (goldfish) is the source of this 162-nucleotide small nuclear RNA. Its record names the gene U1. It matches the Rfam family "U1 spliceosomal RNA". Rfam says of the family: U1 is a small nuclear RNA (snRNA) component of the spliceosome (involved in pre-mRNA splicing). Its 5' end forms complementary base pairs with the 5' splice junction, thus defining the 5' donor site of an intron. The record is from Ensembl. NCBI's taxonomy places the organism in Eukaryota, Metazoa, Chordata, Actinopteri, Cypriniformes, Cyprinidae.